Long non-coding RNA from Phalaenopsis equestris, 602 nucleotides. RefSeq lists it as uncharacterized. Lineage: Eukaryota; Viridiplantae; Streptophyta; Magnoliopsida; Asparagales; Orchidaceae. The transcript has 3 exons. The record is from RefSeq and is a predicted model, not a curated record.
AUAGUCAAUUGUGCAAUUCAAACCUUGAUAUUCAUUAACACGGAUGUUAAUAUAUAUAUAUAUUUUACUUUUUAUAAACAUCUAUUUCUGAGUUGGUUGCUUCCCAUUGGUUCAAUUUAAAAUACCUAACCCAAACCUAUAUGUAGCAGCAAAAAUCUCACAGGAAUCACGUGCUAAAGCCACAAGAAGAGCCACACAGAAGUCAGAAACCAAACACAAAGCCAUAUGAACCAACCAAGCCAUAGGUACUGCAACAAUGGCAGUGUAUAUUUGCGAUUUGAAUCGGUGGCUGCAGCAGUUAAUUGUCAACGUGCAAUGCACAUGCGAUGGUUCGCAGGAAGAUCAAUAUCUGCCACGUUUAUGAAAUCCCAAGAUUAUGAUGCCAAAUUCAGGAGUUCACUGUAAGCAUAAGAUUGGACCUGACUAUUUUCUGUUCAUGUUUUUAAUCGAACUUAGCGGUUACUGGUUGCCAUACCCACCAGUUGACUUGGGAGUGAGUUAUAUUUCUAGUAUACAACAACGUUAUUUAGAUCAAGAUUUCUAUAGUUUUUUGGUAGAACAUCUUUAUUGAACAUGUAUGAUUAUUAUUUGGGUGAAAUUAA